AACAAGGUAUUUGGAAAGAAGCCACAUCUAUUUCGUCUUGAAGCAAAAUUGGGUCUCGCUGCUUGAAAGUUUAAGAAGGUCUCUUUCUUAUCCCUUUUUUUUUGGCGCAAUUAAUGAUUUUUAUAUAUAUAAUACGAAGAUUAUAGAUGUAAUUUUUUUUAUUUCUAUUUUCCUUUUUGUAAAGGGGAUUUUGAGGAAAUAGCUUCUAAAUAAAUACAAAUUCUUAGCAUAGAAAACUGUUAAAGAAGAUAAAGACUAUGUCUCUUGCUUAAACUUCAAAAAAUUUGUCAUCUUAAUCACAUUUAGAUAUUUGUUAAAUUAUUGGGUUAUUUUGUAUUACUUCCUGUUGAAUUUUCUACAUGAACUUUUUCGAUUUGCGUAUGUUUAGAAAUAGAUACUCGAUUUCUAGCUUCCCCUUAGAAGUGAUUAUUUUUAAAAAAAUCUAGGAUAGAAAUGUAAAUAUUACUAUAGUUUUCUAAUUGAAGGAUGUUAUUAGGAGUGGGAUAUAAACAGAUUUGUAUUUAUGAAUUUCUCCACUUAAUUUCUAUUUGAAAUGUGGGAAUAUUUUUUUUUACAUGCAACAUGUUUGAUUUAAUCCAUGAAAUCAUGUGGGUCUAUUUCAUUGGUUUUUUUGGGCCCAUUUUACUGGAUAUUGAAUACAUAUAUGUGUUUUUUCUCCAAUAAAUAAUCUGUGUGACACAUUAUACCCACGCGUAGAACACCAGUUGUUGUCGCUAAUGCUUACAAGGUGGAACAAGAAAUACAAAAUCUUAUUUCAAUGUGCAUUCUACCUUCAAUUCCAUCUCCAUGCUACACUGAGCUAUCUCUUGAUUUUUCAUGAUACUGAACUCCUAUUAUGCAAUUAUUUUGCAGUAAAUAGAUGUUGACAAUCAAAUCUCACUAUACUGAAUUCUAAUUUUUAGUUUCUAUUACAGGUGGAGUGUAAAUUUUAAAAUUCAGACUCAAAAUAUGACUAUUGAUACAUCGUCUCAAUUUAGAUGACACUAAAAUUCAAAGCGUCUCAGUUGGCUUCCUACUUGCUACGCUCAUUGAUUUAUCAUGUGAACUCUUGACUAUUGAUUUUCUCCAGUAAACUUCAAUUGUAAGUUCCUCUCGCCCUCUCACUUAUCUACUUCUUUUUUACUCUCUUUGAUUUAUUCUCUAUUAAAUCUCUGCAUUAGUAAAAUAUAACUCUUAGCAAAUUUAUUUUACAUUAAGUUGGGUUUCUAAGAAUUUAAUCGCUCUAACAUUUUGCAUAUGGAUCAGGCGAUUGAAAGUUCUCCAAAUGAACAUAAAAAUUUUGGAGCUCAAGGGGAAAACCAUGAGAGGGCUGCAAUGAAGCU
Molecule: long non-coding RNA, 1343 nt
Filed under: Solanum tuberosum (potato)
Lineage: Eukaryota; Viridiplantae; Streptophyta; Magnoliopsida; Solanales; Solanaceae
Description: long non-coding RNA (STUB_LNC010218)
Source: RNAcentral